AGGAUUGAACGAGUGAGGGUUGGAGAAUCUAAUCCAAGUGCAACAAUGAC
RNAcentral lists this small RNA (50 nucleotides) under Sinorhizobium meliloti 2011. RNAcentral's name for it is "putative ncRNA". The record is from RNAcentral. Lineage: Bacteria; Pseudomonadati; Pseudomonadota; Alphaproteobacteria; Hyphomicrobiales; Rhizobiaceae.